UACCCACCUCUGUUGCUUUGGCGGGCCGCGGUCCUCCGCGGCCGCCCUCCGUCCGGGGGGUGGCCAGCGCCCGCCAGAGGACCAUCGAACUCCGGUCAGUGAACGUUGCCGUCUGAAAAACAAUCAAUAAACUAAAACUUUCAACAACGGAUCUCUUGGUUCUGGCAUCGAUGAAGAACGCAGCGAAAUGCGAUAAGUAAUGUGAAUUGCAGAAUUCAGUGAAUCAUCGAAUCUUUGAACGCACAUUGCGCCCCUCGGUAUUCCGAGGGGCAUGCCUGUUCGAGCGUCAUUACAACCCUCAAGCUCUGCUUGGUGUUGGGCACCGCCCUUCCGCGGGCGCGCCUCAAAGACCUCGGCGGUGGCGUCUUGCCUCGAGCGUAGUAGAAAACACCUCGCUUUGGAGCGCACGGCGCCGCCCGCCGGACGAACCUUUUGAACUUUCUCAAGGUUGACCUCGGAUCAGGUAG
RNAcentral lists this ribosomal RNA (467 nucleotides) under Neoscytalidium dimidiatum. RNAcentral's name for it is "eukaryotic LSU rRNA". The stretch from base 136 to 289 matches the Rfam family "5.8S ribosomal RNA". Lineage: Eukaryota; Fungi; Ascomycota; Dothideomycetes; Botryosphaeriales; Botryosphaeriaceae. The record is from RNAcentral.